Bison bison bison is the source of this 105-nucleotide small nuclear RNA. The record is from Ensembl. NCBI's taxonomy places the organism in Eukaryota, Metazoa, Chordata, Mammalia, Artiodactyla, Bovidae.
GUGCUCACUUUAGCAGUACAUAAACUAAAAACUGGACUGAUACAGAGAUGAGCAUGGCCCCUGCAGAAGGAUGGCACCCAAAGUCAUGACGCCUUUCACUUAACC